AGGGAAUCUUCCGCAAUGGACGAAAGUCUGACGGAGCAACGCCGCGUGAGUGAAGAAGGCCUUCGGGUCGUAAAACUCUGUUGCCGGGGAAGAACAAGUGCCGUUCGAACAGGGCGGCGCCUUGACGGUACCCGGCCAGAAAGCCACGGCUAACUACGUGCCAGCAGCCGCGGUAAUACGUAGGUGGCAAGCGUUGUCCGGAAUUAUUGGGCGUAAAGCGCGCGCAGGCGGCUUCGUAAGUCGGAUGUGAAAGCUUGCGGCUCAACCGCAAGCGGUCAUUGGAAACUGGGAGGCUUGAGUGCAGAAGAGGAGAGUGGAAUUCCACGUGUAGCGGUGAAAUGCGUAGAGAUGUGGAGGAACACCAGUGGCGAAGGCGACUCUCUGGGCUGUAACUGACGCUGAGGCGCGAAAGCGUGGGGAGCAAAC
This 426-nucleotide ribosomal RNA is filed under the name uncultured bacterium. Its description in RNAcentral is "bacterial SSU rRNA". It matches the Rfam family "Bacterial small subunit ribosomal RNA", at positions 356 to 773 of the family's 1533-position model. The record is from RNAcentral.